Molecule: ribosomal RNA, 482 nt
Filed under: uncultured bacterium
Lineage: Bacteria
Description: partial 16S ribosomal RNA
Rfam family: Bacterial small subunit ribosomal RNA
Source: RNAcentral
AUUGAACGCUGGCGGCAUGCUUUACACAUGCAAGUCGAACGGUAACAGGUCUUCGGCUGCUGACGAGUGGCGAACGGGUGAGUAAUACAUCGGAACGUGCCUAGUAGUGGGGGAUAACUACUCGAAAGAGUAGCUAAUACCGCAUGAGAUCUACGGAUGAAAGCAGGGGACCUUCGGGCCUUGUGCUACUAGAGCGGCUGAUGGCAGAUUAGGUAGUUGGUGGGGUAAAGGCUUACCAAGCCUGCGAUCUGUAGCUGGUCUGAGAGGACGACCAGCCACACUGGGACUGAGACACGGCCCAGACUCCUACGGGAGGCAGCAGUGGGGAAUUUUGGACAAUGGGCGAAAGCCUGAUCCAGCAAUGCCGCGUGCAGGAUGAAGGCCCUCGGGUUGUAAACUGCUUUUGUACGGAACGAAAAGCCUGGGGCUAAUAUCCCCGGGUCAUGACGGUACCGUAAGAAUAAGCACCGGCUAUCUACGUG